AAAUCAAUAUUACUGCUCAUAAAUAGUUCAAAUUAGCACUAUCAGGAGCCUACUCAAACACCAUUUGUGAAUAUCUCUCUAUUUAAAUCUCAAGUUCUGAACACUACACUAUUCCAAAUAAAUAUGCACAUUCUUUUGUAUACAUCCAGUGCAUCUCCAUCAAUAAAGAUCUUAACGAAAACUUACCACUUUCCAAGAUGAUGUUACCUUCCUCAUAAUAACAUAUGUUGCAUGAUUCAAAUGAUUAUUUGAAACUCAGCAUAGAAAAAAAAUCUUAACAAAUAAAAAUAUCAUCAUUUUUAAGAAAAGUGAAGAUGCCAAUAUAAACCUGGCCAAUUGGGAAAUAUAAAAUUUACACUUGACUAACGUCCGCGCAUAAGAGAAAGCCUUUCUAGGUCAAAGCUACAACAUCAAGGAUCUGCAUAGAAAAAAAAUCUUAACAAAUAAAAAUAUCAUCAUUUUUAAGAAAAGUGAAGAUGCCAAUAUAAACCUGGCCAAUUGGGAAAUGUAAAAUUUACACUUGACUAACGUCCGCGCAUAAGAGAAAGCCUUUCUAGAUCAAAGCUACAACAUCAAGGAUCUCUCUGUCCUUGCGCCUAAAUUUCAGGCUUCAAAUCUUGUCUUCUGAACCUGAAAACAACCAAGUUUAUGCAGGAUAUUUGUGAAAUCGGUACAACUACAAUUGCUAUA
Molecule: long non-coding RNA, 690 nt
Filed under: Nicotiana tabacum (common tobacco)
Lineage: Eukaryota; Viridiplantae; Streptophyta; Magnoliopsida; Solanales; Solanaceae
Description: long non-coding RNA (NTAB_LNC000808)
Source: RNAcentral